GGAUAACAGGGUGAUCCUGGGGUGCCGAGAAAAGCCUCGACGCGAUGGUGCCAGCCGCCCGUACCCUAAACCGACACAGGUGGUCGGGCAGAGUAUGCCUAGGCGCACGAGUGAAUCAUGGUUAAGGAACUCGGCAAAAUGCCCCCGUAACUUCGGGAGAAGGGGGACCUUGAGCGUGAUGGGCACUUGCUGCCUUGAGCGUGUAUGGGUCGCAGAGACCAGGGGGAAGCGACUGUUUACUAAAAACACAGGUCCGUGCGAAGCCGUAAGGCGAUGUAUACGGACUGACGCCUGCCCGGUGCUGGAAGGUUAAGAGGAACCAUUAACCCUCGGGUGACGUGGUGAAUUUAAGCCCCAGUAAACGGCGGUGGUAACUAUAACCAUCCUAAGGUAGCGAAAUUCCUUGUCGGGUAAGUUCCGACCUGCACGAAUGGCGUAACGACUUCUCCGCUGUCUCAACCGUGAACUCGGUGAAAUUGCAGUACGAGUAAAGAUGCUCGUUUCGCGCAGAAGGACGGAAAGACCCCGGGACCUUUACUAUAGCUUGGUAUUGGUGUUCGCUUGGACUUGUGUAGGAUAGGUGGGAGACUGUGAAGCUGCCGCGCCAGCGGUGGUGGAGUCGUCGUUGAAAUACCAUUCUGGUUCAAGCGGUCACCUUAACCUUGGCCCGUGAUCCGGGUUGGGGACAGUGCCUGGUGGGUAGUUUAACUGGGGCGGUUGCCUCCUAAAAUGUAACGGAGGCGCUCAAAGGUUCCCUCAGCCUGGUUGGUAAUCAGGUGGCGAGUGCAAGUGUACAAGGGAGCUUGACUGUGAGACCGACGGGUCGAGCAGGUGCGAAAGCAGGAACUAGUGAUCCGGCCAUGGCACGUGGGUGCGUGGUCGCUCAACGGAUAAAAGGUACCCCGGGGAUAACAGGCUGAUCUUGCCCAAGAGUCCAUAUCGACGGCAUGGUUUGGCACCUCGAUGUCGGCUCGUCGCAUCCUGGGGCUGGAGUUGGUCCCAAGGGUUGGGCUGUUCGCCCAUUAAAGCGGUACGCGAGCUGGGUUCAGAACGUCGUGAGACAGUUCGGUCCCUAUCCUCUGUGCGCGCAGGAAAUUUGAGAAGGGCCGUCCCCAGUACGAGAGGACCGGGAUGGACGAACCUCUGGUGUGCCAGUUGUACCGCCAGGUGCAUGGCUGGUUAGCUACGUUCGGAAGGGAUAA
Molecule: ribosomal RNA, 1202 nt
Filed under: human gut metagenome
Description: bacterial LSU rRNA
Rfam family: Bacterial large subunit ribosomal RNA
Source: RNAcentral